This 468-nucleotide ribosomal RNA is filed under the name uncultured bacterium. Its description in RNAcentral is "partial 16S ribosomal RNA". It matches the Rfam family "Bacterial small subunit ribosomal RNA", at positions 28 to 507 of the family's 1533-position model. The record is from RNAcentral.
GACGAACGCUGGCGGCGUGCUUAACACAUGCAAGUCGAACGGAAAGGCCCUGCGUUUGUGGGGUGCUCGAGUGGCGAACGGGUGAGUAACACGUGAGUAACCUGCCCUUGACUUUGGGGUAACUUCAGGAAACUGGGGCUAAUACCGUAUAGGAUCUCCUGCUGCAUGGUGGGGGUUGGAAAGUUUCGGCGGUUGGGGAUGGACUCGCGGCUUAUCAGCUUGUUGGUGGGGUAGUGGCUUACCAAGGCUUUGACGGGUAGCCGGCCUGAGAGGGUGACCGGCCACAUUGCGACUGAGAUACGGACCAGACUCCUACGGGAGGCAGUGGUGGGGAGUAUUGCACAAUGGGCGGAAGCCUGAGGCAGCAACGUCGCGUGCGGGAUGACGGCUUUUGGGUUGUAAACCGCUUUCGCCUGUGACGAAGCGUGAGUGACGGUAAUGGGUAAAGAAGCACCGGCUAACUACGUG